Molecule: ribosomal RNA, 423 nt
Filed under: Galathea denticulata
Lineage: Eukaryota; Metazoa; Arthropoda; Malacostraca; Decapoda; Galatheidae
Also listed under: 1 other name
Description: partial 16S ribosomal RNA
Rfam family: Bacterial large subunit ribosomal RNA (bases 291-423)
Source: RNAcentral
UUUUAAUUGAAGGCUUGUAUGAAGGGUUGGACAAAGAAUAAGCUGUCUUUAUUUUUAUUUUUGAAUUUGUCUUUUAGGUGAAAAGACUUAAAUGUAUUUAAGGGACGAUAAGACCCUAUAAAGUUUUAUAUUGGGUAUUUGUAUUUUAGAUUUUAAUGUUUAUGUAAAUAGGGGUAUAGAAUAUUAUAUUGGGGUGAUAAGAAUAACUAAUAAACUGUUCUAAGAUAAAACAAAUUUGUUUGGAUGAUAAUAGAUCCUUUAUAAAGAUUAAAAGUUUAAGUUACUUUAGGGAUAACAGCGUUAUUUUCUUUGAGAGUUCAAAUCGAAAAGAAAGUUUGCGACCUCGAUGUUGAAUUAAAAUUUCUUUAUGGUGCAGUAGCUAUAAGAGAAAGUCUGUUCGACUUUUAAAUUUUUACGUGAUCU